AGUGUUCAGCUGGAUUCUCUCUGGGCUCUUUAUUUAAUUCUAUGGAGCUGUAUUUGAGGCUUAAAUGUAAUAUUGUCCAGGCCCAAAACAGCCUGUUUACAUAGAAAUGAAUGAAAACCGGAGUUUCUGACACAAACCAUAACACAUGAUCAAUCCAGCUUGCUUUUAAUAUAAUGGUACAGAUUACUAAAAAGCUUUACAUCCCUUAUCUAAGUAGCUUUUUGUUUUCUGGAAUAUUUUGUUUAUCUCUUGUAAACUUGCAUGAAACCUGAUACCCAGAGAUCCUUUAUGUAGGAGUGACUCUGCAAUUACAGCCGAUUUCCAUUGAGUGCUCCAGGAAAAAAAAACAGAAUUGAACCUGUAUUUAACCCGAAUCUGCAAAUGUACAGGAUUAUUAUUUAUUUGCAUUCUGUACUCCAUUUAAGCACCAAGCGCAUGCUGGGUUUGUAUUAAACAGCCUUGAAGGCCAGCAUCAGUUUUCACCAAUGUUUGGUGUCCUAAAAAACCUUAACUUCAGGAUCUUUUGUUCAUUCUCAUUAUUGCAAUGUAGACGUGGAUGAUCCUGUACAGUGACUAGAUAUUUAAAUCUAUGUGGUUCAGGUGUAAACAAACAUUGACUUGACUCUGGUUUUAUUUUAGACCGCGUUAAACCCAUGGGCUCUUAUCGAAGUCGUUUCCUGUUUCUUCCUUGGCAGGUAGCGAUCAAAAGGGAGCCUAAAUAAUCACUUUUACCGACGGUCGCUGUAGGGCUCGAUCCUGUAGCCGCUUCAGCAACAUUAAGGAAAAGGACACGUUAGUUUUGGUGGUUUUGAGGAGCAAUUAAGGUCUUGUUAGUUGAACAGAUUGUUUGUGGUAGACUAGUGGUUAAAGCUUUGGACUUCUGAUCGGAAGGUUGAGUUCCCAGCUUAGUCAGUAUGUAUAGAUUGCUGGACUCGACCCAGAAGAAGAAAAUGUCCUCCUCACUGGCGAACGCAGUUGGCUGAGAUUCAGACGAUGUGACUCUGUAUUAGACUAAAAGACGAGAGCAAGUCAAUCUUGCUGAAAGCCAGAGGUGGUGGUGAUCCUGGAGACUGACCCAAAAGGUUCGCAUUCACCGUCUGAUGUUUGGGGGUCUGCCUUGACUCAGGAUGCCGUCUGAUGCUCGACACCAGACAGUGACCUGCUCUAUUUCGCAGGAACAACUGGGUGUAAUGCUGCCAGAUGCCGAUUAAGCAACUGUGGAACAACAGGAUUCAAGACCUGUAAAAAAUCUCACAAACCAACUGCUGGUUACAUGAGUUUACUGUUGCUCAGUGUAUAUUCAAGAUUAAUAGAAAGCCAGUGAGCUGAAAUUGAACUUUUAGUGAGGAUGUAAUAUUUUCUCUCUCUAACUCAUUGAUUAGUCUUUAUUUGAUUGGUCUAUUUAUGUUCUGGCCUUUUGUGCACUCAACAAUUUAAAAAAAAAAAUAAAAUAAACAUUAAUUGUUUAA
This is a long non-coding RNA of Tachysurus fulvidraco (yellow catfish), 1469 nucleotides long. RefSeq lists it as uncharacterized. The transcript is spliced from 7 exons. NCBI's taxonomy places the organism in Eukaryota, Metazoa, Chordata, Actinopteri, Siluriformes, Bagridae. The record is from RefSeq and is a predicted model, not a curated record.